AAAUAACGUGUCAGCCGGGCUUGAUGCAUCUUCACCACCGGAGCUUACCAAUGCUGUGCAAAAUGGUAAGGAACCUUCUAAUUUGUCUUACACUAGCACAGCUGAAGGAUCCCAUGAACAAAGUCCUCAGGAUAUUGAAACAAGUGAGAUUCCAGAAAUAAUUAUGUACGUAUACAGUCCAGAGGAGGCUGACACAGAGGUCACAGAGCCAGACUAUGCAGGCCAAAAAUGUUUUCCAGAGCAGAAAGCACCGGAAAAUAGUCUACCAUUUCACUUCCCAGGAGUUCAAGCAACUCAUAAAGUCAAGCCUCCAACGGAUGACCAACACUUAACUCUCCAACCACCAGUUGCUGGCAAAAGGCCACCAGAAGACCAACGUAAGGCAAAAUGUUCAGAGGUAGCCAAAGGAAGAGAGAAAAGUCAUAGUGAAGACAAAAUAUUCUCUGUUUUUAACAAAAAUGAUAGCAAUGUCCCAGCUAAAAAGGAACAGGAUAAUAAAACACCCAACUGCCCAACGCAAAAUGAAUCGAAAGGCAAGGAGCCACAUCCACACCAAACGCUCAGCCCACAAAUUAAGCUUGAUAAUUCCAAUACUGACAUACCAAAUUCAGAUGUAAAUCAGACAAAACACACACUUUCCUCAAAUGAGAGCCAGGAGGAGAAGCCUAGUGCUGCAGAAGAAGACCACAUCUCUUCUGACUGGAAAAACAAACAAAGCCCUUUGCCAAGUGACCUUGUGAAGCACAACUCUUACACUGCAGAAGAGGAUUUUGAGAAGGAUCGAUUAUAUUCACUGAAUGAAAUGGUGAAUCAUGCAAACAACCAAGCCCUGGGCAGGAGUACCUUUACUGACCUGGAGACUUGUCAAAAGCCAUUCAGCUAUUUCAUGGAGCAUGAAGAGGGUACUGCAGAUGAGAUGCCUUGGCCUGAUUCUAGGGCAUGCCAAGCAUCCUCAUCAAAUCCUUUAACAACACCCGUGAGUGGGAUUGCAGGGCAAAGAAUUCACUACACUUUCAGAAAUCCCCCAACCCUCCCACCUAUCGAUCUAGUGAACCAGGAGCCAGGAACCAGGAACCAGGAAACUGGUGGUGUGGAAGAUGAGCAUGCCAGCCACGACUGUGAGAAACAUCAACUACCCUCUUCAGGUGAAUCGACAG
This 1157-nucleotide long non-coding RNA is filed under the name Struthio camelus australis. RNAcentral's name for it is "lncRNA (ENSSCUG00000001342.1)". The record is from RNAcentral. Lineage: Eukaryota; Metazoa; Chordata; Aves; Struthioniformes; Struthionidae.